This 1327-nucleotide long non-coding RNA is filed under the name Homo sapiens (human). RNAcentral describes it as "HSALNT0286630". The record is from RNAcentral. Lineage: Eukaryota; Metazoa; Chordata; Mammalia; Primates; Hominidae.
UGCUGAUCAGCUGACUUUGAGAUGGAGCGAUUAUCCUGGAUUAUCCAGGUAGGCCCAAUAUAAUCAUAAGGAUCCUUAUAAAUAAACAAAGGAGGCAGGGAAAUUUGUGUCAGAGUGAUUUGAUAUGAGAAACGCUCAACCUAUGCCUUUGAAGAUAGAGAAAGUGGGUCAGUCAUGAGUCAUGUGGUGACCUCUAGAAGCUAGACAAAGCCAGGAAACGGAUUCUCUUCUGCAGCCUCCACAAGGGAAUGAAGGCUGGCAUCUAAACUCAAUCAGCAAAAUAAAUUCAAUAAGGAAGAUUUGAAGAUCAAAGACCUUCCUCUCUCUGGCUUCACAUUUCUCAUCACUAGUUGAAAGCCUGAAAGAACAAAAAAGCUGACCCUUCCCUGAGUAAGAGAGAAUUCUUCCUGCGUGAUGAUCUUCAAUCUGGGACAUUGACUUUUUUUCUGCCUUUGGCCUGAAACAUUGGCUCUCCCUGGGUCUCGAGCCUGCGGGCCUUUGGACUGGAACUAAAUUAUCAGCUCUCCUGGGCCUCCAGGUUGUCUAUUCACCCUGCAGAUCUUUCAACUUGCCAGACCCCAUAAUUAUGUGAACCAAUUCAUUAUAAAAAUAAAUCUCGAUUGCUGGCAAGAUGGCCGAACAGGAACAGCUCCGGCCUGUAGCUCCCAGCGAGAUCGACAUAGAAGGCCUAGGUCAUCAAGAUGCACAGCACAGGACAGAAGCCCCUCUAGUCCUGCACCUGGUGACAUGGAACUGCUGUGCUGGUCCACACAGACACAGCCUCCAACCAAGCCUGGCUCCUACCCAUCACAGUUCUGUAGGCUGCCCAUUUGCAGAAGGCCUUCCAUCUGACACUCCUCCUCGCCUGCUUGUUCUCCAGCCAUGUUGUGGCCAAUUUGCCAUGAGGAGGUUGCAGUGGCCAAGACUGUUGGAAACUGUGCGGUGUAGCUGGGAGAGAAAGGACACACUCUAAAUGUUCUUACUGCCUGUGACGAUGCAGCUACAGCGAUGUACUAGCUGCUCACAAGCCUGUUCCUUCUUCCAUUGUAGGGCAUGAAGAAUUCCCUUAUCACUGGGUAAGAAGGGGGAACAGAAGUUUUUCUCAUGCCUAAUUUUGCGUUUUCAGUAAGGUCUUUUUCAGCUUGUCCAGGAGAAACUGGAAAAAAAAAGAUACUUGAAAUAAACUGAAGGACAUUUAAACAAAGAAACACUUGAAAUAAAUUGAAAAGAAUUUUUUUUUUCUUUUUUAACAUUAACAUAUUUUGCAGGAAGAAAAAAUAUAAAGGACACUAGGGGCAAAUAAAUUUCUGUGUUUACAAUAGCAAAG